AACGAACGCUGGCGGCAUGCCUAACACAUGCAAGUCGAACGAGACCUUCGGGUCUAGUGGCGCCCGGGUUCGUAACGCGUGGGAACCUGCCCUUAGGUUCGGCAUAACUCUCCGAAAGGGGUGCUAUUACCGGAUAAUGUCUUCGAACCAAAGAUUUAUCGCCUUUGGAUGGUCCCGCGUUGGAUUAGCUAGUUGGUAGGGUAAAAGCCUACCAAGGCGACGAUCCAUAGCUGGUCUGAGAGGAUGAUCAGCCACACUGGGACUGAGACACGGCCCAGACUCCUACGGGAGGCAGCAGUGGGGAAUAGUGGACAAUGGGCGAAAGCAUGAUCCAGCAAUGCCGCGUGAGUGAUGAAGGCAUUAGGGUUGUAAAGCUCUUUUACCCGGGAUGAUAAUGACAGUACCGGGAGAAUAAGCUCCGGCUAACUACGUG
RNAcentral lists this ribosomal RNA (433 nucleotides) under uncultured bacterium. RNAcentral describes it as "partial 16S ribosomal RNA". It matches the Rfam family "Bacterial small subunit ribosomal RNA", at positions 29 to 507 of the family's 1533-position model. The record is from RNAcentral.